GUUGUGGCUCAGUGGCAGAGAGCCUGCCUGGCAUGUGUGAGGCACUGGGUUCAAUCCUCAGCACCACA
This 68-nucleotide transfer RNA is filed under the name Marmota monax (woodchuck). RNAcentral describes it as "tRNA.Ala". Lineage: Eukaryota; Metazoa; Chordata; Mammalia; Rodentia; Sciuridae. The record is from RNAcentral.